Molecule: non-coding RNA, 26 nt
Filed under: Bombyx mori (domestic silkworm)
Lineage: Eukaryota; Metazoa; Arthropoda; Insecta; Lepidoptera; Bombycidae
Also listed under: 8 other names
Source: RNAcentral
GUGUAAUGGUUAGCACUCUGGACUCU